CCUUUCCAUUCCAAGCCAGGACUCUCCGAGAACAGUGAGCCUUUAACCGCACCCCUUGUUCUCAGGUAAGACCUGAGUCCGCAGAGGUCCCAAGACUCACUAGAAUUAUACGGCCCCUUGGUGGCCUGGCUGAUUCCAAUAGCUUUACAGAGAAUGACGUGACAACUGUUUUACUCCCUGUAUAAGCUACUGUGUCUUAGUGACUACUCAGAACACUCAGAAGUCACCCUAGUCUACCUGUGUCCCAUAGGAAGUAAACUCUCAGCGUGUAAGAAUUUGGGCAUAGAGUAUAUAUUAGAGGUUAAUUAUUCCCUUCUCACAAUAGGGAUCCACCAUAAGAUGUUCUUAAAGGGUCGCAGCUCUGAGGCAUGGACACUGAGUAUUGAGGCAACAGGAAUGAGCCACCAAUGACUUCUCAGAGAGAAAAGGGAGGAGUCAGCAGGAGUGAUCUUCGGUGAAGAUUUCAAAGAAACAAGGAUCCUGGAUAUAUCCCAUCAGCUCUUUUGACGCAUCUGCCUGCCAGCUUUGGCUGAGUACAGGACUGUUUUACAGGUAGCGUUGGCUUACGUGAGCUGGAUAGCAAGCCCAGGACACCACACAUGGUAGGCAAACACUCCCACUGUCUUAGGGUUUCAGUUGGGGAGGAAAGGGUUUAUUCAGCUUAUA
This is a long non-coding RNA of Mus musculus (house mouse), 666 nucleotides long. RefSeq annotates it as predicted gene, 31102. The transcript is spliced from 4 exons. The record is from RefSeq and is a predicted model, not a curated record. NCBI's taxonomy places the organism in Eukaryota, Metazoa, Chordata, Mammalia, Rodentia, Muridae.